Molecule: ribosomal RNA, 349 nt
Filed under: uncultured bacterium
Lineage: Bacteria
Description: partial 16S ribosomal RNA
Rfam family: Bacterial small subunit ribosomal RNA
Source: RNAcentral
CUCCAGACUCCUACGGGAGGCAGCAGUGGGGGAUAUUGCACAAUGGGGGGAACCCUGAUGCAGCGACGCCGCGUGGGUGAAGGAGCGUUUCGGCGCGUAAAGCCCUAUCGGCAGGGAAGAAGGAGGACGGUACCUGACUAAGAAGCCCCGGCUAACUACGUGCCAGCAGCCGCGGUAAUACGUAGGGGGCAAGCGUUAUCCGGAUUUACUGGGUGUAAAGGGAGCGUAGACGGCAUAGCAAGUCUGAAGUGAAAGGGCGUGGCUGAACCGCGGAACUGCUUUGGAAACUGGUAAGCUGGAGUACUGGAGAGGCGGGGGGAAUUCCUAGGGGAGCGGGGAAAUGCGUAGA